GGGGACAUAGCUCAGUGAUAGAGUGCGUGCUUAGCAUGCACGAGGUCCUGGGUUCAAUUUCCUAGUACCUUCA
This 73-nucleotide transfer RNA is filed under the name Camelus bactrianus (Bactrian camel). It matches the Rfam family "tRNA". Rfam says of the family: Transfer RNA (tRNA) molecules are approximately 80 nucleotides in length. Lineage: Eukaryota; Metazoa; Chordata; Mammalia; Artiodactyla; Camelidae. The record is from Rfam by way of RNAcentral. RNAcentral also lists the same sequence under 2 other names.